GAGUUUGAUCAUGGCUCAGAACGAACGCUGGCGGCAUGCCUAACACAUGCAAGUCGAACGAUGCUUUCGGGCAUAGUGGCGCACGGGUGCGUAACGCGUGGGAAUCUGCCCUUGGGUUCGGAAUAACAGUGGGAAACUACUGCUAAUACCGGAUAAUAUCGCGAGAUCAAAGAUUUAUCGCCUAAGGAUGAGCCCGCGUAGGAUUAGCUAGUUGGUGUGGUAAUGGCACACCAAGGCGACGAUCCUUAGCUGGUCUGAGAGGAUGAUCAGCCACACUGGGACUGAGACACGGCCCAGACUCUUACGGGAGGCAGCAGUGGGGAAUAUUGGACAAUGGGCGCAAGCCUGAUCCAGCAAUGCCGCGUGAGUGAUGAAGGCCUUAGGGUUGUAAAGCUCUUUUACCAGGGAUGAUAAUGACAGUACCUGGAGAAUAAGCUCCGGCUAACUCCGUGCCAGCAGCCGCGGUAAUACG
This 472-nucleotide ribosomal RNA is filed under the name uncultured eubacterium WR1138. Its description in RNAcentral is "bacterial SSU rRNA". It matches the Rfam family "Bacterial small subunit ribosomal RNA", at positions 9 to 527 of the family's 1533-position model. The record is from RNAcentral.